RNAcentral lists this unclassified non-coding RNA (422 nucleotides) under soil metagenome. RNAcentral describes it as "partial contains 5.8S ribosomal RNA, internal transcribed spacer 2, and large subunit ribosomal RNA". The stretch from base 1 to 120 matches the Rfam family "5.8S ribosomal RNA", at positions 35 to 154 of the family's 154-position model. The record is from RNAcentral.
GAUGAAGAACGCAGCGAAAUGCGAUACGUAAUGUGAAUUGCAGAAUUCAGUGAAUCAUCGAAUCUUUGAACGCACAUUGCACUCUCUGGUAUUCCGGAGAGUAUGCUUGUUUGAGUAUCUGUAAACAUCUCAAAUCUCUCUUCGCUUGCGUCGAGAGAAUUGGAUUUGAGCGAUCCCGACUCCUUCGUCAGAAAGAGGAGGGUCGCUUGAAAUGCAGGUGCAGCUGGACAUUCUUCUGAGCUAAAAGCAUAUCUAUUUAGUCCCGUCAAACGGAUUAUUACUUUUGCUUCAGCUAAUAUAAAGGUCGAAUGAACUACCAACGCUGAUUGCAGGAAAACUUGUUCGUUUAUUCGGACUUGUAAACUCGAUCUCAAAUCAAGUAAGACUACCCGCUGAACUUAAGCAUAUCAAUAAGCGGAGGA